GGAGAGAUGGCCGAGCGGUUUAUAGCCCUGGUCUUGAAAACCGGUAUAGUAUUUUCAAUACUAUCGAGGGUUCGAAUCCCUCUCUCUCCC
Molecule: transfer RNA, 90 nt
Filed under: Diphasiastrum digitatum
Lineage: Eukaryota; Viridiplantae; Streptophyta; Lycopodiopsida; Lycopodiales; Lycopodiaceae
Description: tRNA-Ser
Rfam family: tRNA
About the family: Transfer RNA (tRNA) molecules are approximately 80 nucleotides in length.
Source: RNAcentral